Molecule: ribosomal RNA, 492 nt
Filed under: uncultured bacterium
Lineage: Bacteria
Description: partial 16S ribosomal RNA
Rfam family: Bacterial small subunit ribosomal RNA
Source: RNAcentral
AGUGAACGCUGGCGGUAGGCCUAACACAUGCAAGUCGAACGGCAGCACAGUAAGAGCUUGCUCUUACGGGUGGCGAGUGGCGGACGGGUGAGGAAUGCAUCGGAAUCUACUUUUUCGUGGGGGAUAACGUAGGGAAACUUACGCUAAUACCGCAUACGACCUACGGGUGAAAGCAGGGGAUCUUCGGACCUUGCGCGAUUGAAUGAGCCGAUGUCGGAUUAGCUAGUUGGCGGGGUAAAGGCCCACCAAGGCGACGAUCCGUAGCUGGUCUGAGAGGAUGAUCAGCCACACUGGAACUGAGACACGGUCCAGACUCCUACGGGAGGCAGCAGUGGGGAAUAUUGGACAAUGGGCGCAAGCCUGACCCAGCCAUACCGCGUGGGUGAAGAAGGCCUUCGGGUUGUAAAGCCCUUUUGUUGGGAAAGAAAAGCAGCAGGUUAAUACCCAGCUGUUCUGACGGUACCCAAAGAAUAAGCACCGGCUAACUUCGUG